This 253-nucleotide ribosomal RNA is filed under the name uncultured bacterium. RNAcentral's name for it is "partial 16S ribosomal RNA". It matches the Rfam family "Bacterial small subunit ribosomal RNA", at positions 524 to 776 of the family's 1533-position model. The record is from RNAcentral.
UACGAAGGGUGCUAGCGUUGUUCGGAAUCACUGGGCGUAAAGGGCGCGUAGGCGGCGCGACAAGUCAGGCGUGAAAGCCCCGGGCUCAACCCGGGAAUUGCGCUUGAUACUGUCGUGCUUGAGGCCGGGAGAGGAUGGCGGAAUUCCCAGUGUAGAGGUGAAAUUCGUAGAUAUUGGGAAGAACACCGGUGGCGAAGGCGGCCAUCUGGACCGGUUCUGACGCUGAGGCGCGAAAGCGUGGGGAGCAAACAGG